UUGGACGAGACAGAGACGGAGACAAAGCUUCCCUCGUAGAAACCAAACAGUGGGACUGUGUUACAACUUAAGGCCCACGCGUUCGGAUGAGACCAAGAUAAUACUCAACUUGGACAGUGCAUAAGACAUGUUAAAUCAUCGUUUUAUGUUUUAAAUUUGCGGUUU
Molecule: long non-coding RNA, 165 nt
Organism: Selaginella moellendorffii
Lineage: Eukaryota; Viridiplantae; Streptophyta; Lycopodiopsida; Selaginellales; Selaginellaceae
Exons: 2
Source: RefSeq, a predicted model, not a curated record